GCAGCCGCAGCACAACAACGACCGAUAAAUUUCAAUGUUAUAACAAGGCUAAAUUUCAAUGUUAACGACAAUUUAUUAUUUUGAAUCAUACAAUAAUUUGAAAAACAGAGUAAAAUAAGCAAAAAGAAAUAAACAUAAAUAAAAUAAACAAAAAAUUACAAAAUUUUAAAAAGCCCACUAAGCAGGCCCAUAACAAAAAACCGAAUUAACAAAAAUCGAAC
RNAcentral lists this long non-coding RNA (221 nucleotides) under Solanum tuberosum (potato). RNAcentral describes it as "long non-coding RNA (STUB_LNC009757)". Lineage: Eukaryota; Viridiplantae; Streptophyta; Magnoliopsida; Solanales; Solanaceae. The record is from RNAcentral.